UACGUAGGUGGGCAAGCGUUGUUCGGAUUUACUGGGCGUAAAGGGUUCGUAGGUGGCCAACUAAGUCAGACGUGAAAUCCCUCAGCUCAACUGGGGAACUGCGUCUGAUACUGGUUGGCUUGAGUGCAGGAGAGGAACGCGGAAUUCCAGGUGUAGCGGUGAAAUGCGUAGAUAUCUGGAGGAACACCGGUGGCGAAGGCGGCGUUCUGGACUGCAACUGACACUGAAGAACGAAAGCCAGGGGAGCAAACGGG
This 254-nucleotide ribosomal RNA is filed under the name uncultured bacterium. RNAcentral's name for it is "partial 16S ribosomal RNA". It matches the Rfam family "Bacterial small subunit ribosomal RNA", at positions 524 to 776 of the family's 1533-position model. The record is from RNAcentral.